This 246-nucleotide long non-coding RNA is filed under the name Lathyrus oleraceus (garden pea). RNAcentral describes it as "Pisum sativum (pea) long non-coding RNA (PSAT_LNC020785)". Lineage: Eukaryota; Viridiplantae; Streptophyta; Magnoliopsida; Fabales; Fabaceae. The record is from RNAcentral.
GUUUAAGCUACAGGGUCUGGCAAGAUGAACAAAUUGACUCUUGGUUCACAAAAAGGGGUACAAGAUGGAGUACAAAGGUAUAAUGUAUUUUGUCCAAAGAAUAGGUAUAUCACCUGGAGUGAAAGAAGGUAGUAUACGAAUGCAUCAUGGAAAUGAAUGGAGUGAAGUGACUGAAGUCACAUAAUAGAAGAACUUGGAAACAAGUGACUGAAGAAGUAUUGUUUGAGAUUGAAAGGUGAAAGUGUA